CCCGGCUGCAGAUUGGAGAGGAUUUUUAAGACGUUUGUGGAGUUUCCUAUCCUGGCUCCUCGGACAUUACCUUGUGACUAUACGUAUUUUCACACUGGCUACUUGGUUUCCAAACCUGACUGAUGACCAGAAUUAGAACUACAAUUUAUGUAAAAGGGUUUCAUCAAUAAAUCACAUCAAUAAUUUGGUUUAAUAAAUGGGCAACCUUGGAAUGAACAGGAGACCCAGACAACAGGAGGUCCAGACAGCUGUGGGAUGCACU
This 262-nucleotide long non-coding RNA is filed under the name Meriones unguiculatus (Mongolian gerbil). RNAcentral describes it as "lncRNA (ENSMUGG00000020720.1)". The record is from RNAcentral. Lineage: Eukaryota; Metazoa; Chordata; Mammalia; Rodentia; Muridae.